AAUUUCCUUCUCUUAAUAAUUUCCUUUACCUUUCUUUGCUUUUGUGUCAUUAUAUCAUUAAUUCAUUGUCUUUCUCUUUAAGUGGAAAUGUCAAAUGUUGGAUCCAGUAAUGCAGAUACUAGUCAAGAGGAAUUCGGCGGCGCCGUGUAUGCUCAUUUAAACAUGGAAGCAUUGCAAAUUGGUGCUGGAAAAAGAAAUAAAGAGAAACCUUCAAGCGAUGAUAACCAGGUUCUUUAUGCUGCUGUUAAACCUACUUCUGAACAAGCAAUAUAUUCAACUGUUCAAUAGCAUCUUAGAUAUGGGAUUUCUUCAGAAACAAAAUCAAAGAGGAAGACUGAAGAUUCUAUGAUGGAGUGUUGCGUAUUGGAUAAAUAUAAAUAUCCCCAACUCAUAUGUUUCUCACACCUUCGAGGGAAGGACAAGGAUGCAAAAAAAAUUUUUCUUUUCAAAGGUGGAAUUGACCAAUAUAUGUCUCUUUUAACCUAUGCACAGUAAAAAUGGAUACAAGUAUCCCCAAUUCAUGGCUUCCCAACACCUUCGAGAAAAACAAAA
This is a long non-coding RNA of Rana temporaria (common frog), 552 nucleotides long. RefSeq lists it as uncharacterized. The record is from RefSeq and is a predicted model, not a curated record. The transcript has 2 exons. NCBI's taxonomy places the organism in Eukaryota, Metazoa, Chordata, Amphibia, Anura, Ranidae.